CACGUAGGGCGCAAGCGUUGUCCGGAAUUAUUGGGCGUGAAGAGCUCGUAGGUGGUUUGUUACGUCUGCUGUGAAAUCCUAGGGCUUAACCCUGGGCUUGCAGUGGAUACGGGCAGACUAGAGGUAGGUAGGGGAGAAUGGAAUUCCUGGUGUAGCGGUGAAAUGCGCAGAUAUCAGGAGGAACACCGGUGGCGAAGGCGGUUCUCUGGGCCUUACCUGACACUGAGGAGCGAAAGCGUGGGGAGCGAACAGG
This 253-nucleotide ribosomal RNA is filed under the name uncultured bacterium. Its description in RNAcentral is "partial 16S ribosomal RNA". It matches the Rfam family "Bacterial small subunit ribosomal RNA", at positions 524 to 776 of the family's 1533-position model. The record is from RNAcentral.